RNAcentral lists this ribosomal RNA (255 nucleotides) under uncultured bacterium. RNAcentral's name for it is "partial 16S ribosomal RNA". It matches the Rfam family "Bacterial small subunit ribosomal RNA", at positions 524 to 777 of the family's 1533-position model. The record is from RNAcentral.
UACAGAGGGGGCAAGCGUUAUUCGGAAUUAUUGGGCGUAAAGGGCGCGUAGGCGGCUUUGCAAGUGACGGGUGAAAUCCCUCGGCUUAACCGAGGAACUGCCUGUCAGACUGCAUGGCUUGAGACCAGGAGAGGUGAGUGGAAUUCCCAGUGUAGCGGUGAAAUGCGUAGAUAUUGGGAGGAACACCAGUGGCGAAGGCGGCUCACUGGACUGGUACUGACGCUGAUGCGCGAAAAGCGUGGGGAGCAAACAGGG